UCCGGUUUGUCACCGGCAGUCUGGCGUGAGUCCCCAACUUAAUGCUGGCAACACGCCACGGGGGUUGCGCUCGUUGCGGGACUUAACCCAACAUCUCACGACACGAGCUGACGACAGCCAUGCAGCAUCUGUGCCUGUUGUACCCCGAAGGGCCUACCCUACUUUCAUAGGGAUAAUCCAGGCAUGUCAAGCCCAGGUAAGGUUCUGCGCGUUGCUUCGAAUUGAACCACAUGCUCCACCGCUUGUGUGAGCCCCCGUCAAUUCCUUUGAGUUUUAGCCUUGCGACCGUACUUCCCAGGCGGUCCACUUAGCACUUUUGCUUCGACCGUAAAACCGUCAGAGGUCCUACGAUCUAGUGGACAUCGUUUAGGGCCAGGACUAC
Molecule: unclassified non-coding RNA, 382 nt
Filed under: uncultured Tepidisphaerales bacterium
Lineage: Bacteria; Pseudomonadati; Planctomycetota; Phycisphaerae; Tepidisphaerales
Description: contains 16S-23S intergenic spacer region
Source: RNAcentral